UUUUUUCGGUGCAAGAUGAGCUCGCGGCCUAUCAGCUUGUUGGUGGGGUAAUGGCCUACCAAGGCGUCGACGGGUAGCCGGCCUGAGAGGGUGUACGGCCACAUUGGGACUGAGAUACGGCCCAGACUCCUACGGGAGGCAGCAGUGGGGAAUAUUGCACAAUGGGCGGAAGCCUGAUGCAGCGACGCCGCGUGGGGGAUGAAGGCCUUCGGGUUGUAAACUCCUUUCGACAGGGACGAAGCGUAAGUGACGGUACCUGUAUAAGAAGCACC
This 272-nucleotide ribosomal RNA is filed under the name Corynebacterium striatum. Its description in RNAcentral is "partial 16S ribosomal RNA". It matches the Rfam family "Bacterial small subunit ribosomal RNA", at positions 210 to 494 of the family's 1533-position model. Lineage: Bacteria; Bacillati; Actinomycetota; Actinomycetes; Mycobacteriales; Corynebacteriaceae. The record is from RNAcentral.